CCUACGGGGGGCUGCAGUGGGGAAUAUUGGACAAUGGGGGCAACCCUGAUCCAGCCAUGCCGCGUGUGUGAAGAAGGCCCUCGGGUUGUAAAGCACUUUCAGUGAGGAAGAACGCCUGGUGGUUAAUACCCAUCAGGAAAGACAUCACUCACAGAAGAAGCACCGGCUAACUCCGUGCCAGCAGCCGCGGUAAUACGGAGGGUGCGAGCGUUAAUCGGAAUUACUGGGCGUAAAGCGCGCGUAGGUGGCUUGAUAAGCCGGUUGUGAAAGCCCCGGGCUCAACCUGGGAACGGCAUCCGGAACUGUCAAGUUAGAGUGCAGGAGAGGAAGGUAGAAUUCCCGGUGUAGCGGUGAAAUGCGUAGAGAUCGGGAGGAAUACCAGUGGCGAAGGCGGCCUUCUGGACUGACACUGACACUGAGGUGCGAAAGCGUGGGUAGCAAACAGGAUUAGAUACCCUUGUAGUC
RNAcentral lists this ribosomal RNA (465 nucleotides) under Vreelandella stevensii. Its description in RNAcentral is "partial 16S ribosomal RNA". It matches the Rfam family "Bacterial small subunit ribosomal RNA", at positions 338 to 795 of the family's 1533-position model. The record is from RNAcentral. Lineage: Bacteria; Pseudomonadati; Pseudomonadota; Gammaproteobacteria; Oceanospirillales; Halomonadaceae.